Molecule: transfer RNA, 86 nt
Organism: Fusarium graminearum
Lineage: Eukaryota; Fungi; Ascomycota; Sordariomycetes; Hypocreales; Nectriaceae
Rfam family: tRNA
About the family: Transfer RNA (tRNA) molecules are approximately 80 nucleotides in length.
Source: Rfam
GCGUAAUUGGUUUAGUGGUAAAAUUCUCCGUUGCCAGUCACAUGACCAGCCUCGGGGAGCCCUGGGUUCGAUUCCCAGAUUACGCA